UACGGAGGGUGCAAGCGUUGUUCGGAAUUACUGGGCGUAAAGGGUGUGCAGGCGGCUGGGUAAGUCCGAUGUGAAAUCCCUCGGCUCAACUGAGGACGUGCAUCGGAUACUGCUUAGCUUGAGUCUCGGAGAGGGGGGUGGAAUUCCCGGUGUAGAGGUGAAAUUCGUAGAUAUCGGGAGGAACACCAGUGGCGAAGGCGACCCCCUGGACGAUGACUGACGCUGAGGUG
This 230-nucleotide ribosomal RNA is filed under the name uncultured microorganism. RNAcentral describes it as "partial 16S ribosomal RNA". It matches the Rfam family "Bacterial small subunit ribosomal RNA", at positions 524 to 753 of the family's 1533-position model. The record is from RNAcentral.